GACGAACGCUGGCGGCGUGCUUAACACAUGCAAGUCGAACGGAAAGGCCCUGCUUUUGUGGGGUGCUCGAGUGGCGAACGGGUGAGUAACACGUGAGUAACCUGCCCUUGACUUUGGGAUAACUUCAGGAAACUGGGGCUAAUACCGGAUAGGAGCUCCUGCUGCAUGGUGGGGGUUGGAAAGUUUCGGCGGUUGGGGAUGGACUCGCGGCUUAUCAGCUUGUUGGUGGGGUAGUGGCUUACCAAGGCUUUGACGGGUAGCCGGCCUGAGAGGGUGACGGGGGCAGUGAGGAGGUAUGUACGGCAGAGACGCGUGUGGGGGGCGGCAGUGGGGACGAUUGCACUAUGGGCGGAAGGCUGAUGCGGCGCCGACGCGUGCGGGGUGGGGGCCUUGGCGUUGAAGACCGCUUUCGCCUGUGACAACGCGGGAGUAGGGGGCAUGGGUAGAGGGGCACCGCAUACGUCCGUG
This 468-nucleotide ribosomal RNA is filed under the name uncultured bacterium. Its description in RNAcentral is "partial 16S ribosomal RNA". It matches the Rfam family "Bacterial small subunit ribosomal RNA", at positions 28 to 507 of the family's 1533-position model. The record is from RNAcentral.